RNAcentral lists this ribosomal RNA (138 nucleotides) under uncultured eukaryote. Its description in RNAcentral is "partial 18S ribosomal RNA". It matches the Rfam family "Eukaryotic small subunit ribosomal RNA", at positions 1299 to 1458 of the family's 1831-position model. The record is from RNAcentral.
UGGUGGAGUGAUUUGUCUGCUUAAUUGCGAUAACGAACGAGACCUUUUCCUGCUAAAUAGACUCAGUCAGCUUUGCUGGCUGCAGCCUUCUUAGAGGGACUUUUGACGUUUAGUCAUAGGAAGCUUGAGGCUAUAACA